This 704-nucleotide ribosomal RNA is filed under the name Microbacterium sp. RNAcentral's name for it is "bacterial SSU rRNA". It matches the Rfam family "Bacterial small subunit ribosomal RNA", at positions 61 to 776 of the family's 1533-position model. The record is from RNAcentral. Lineage: Bacteria; Bacillati; Actinomycetota; Actinomycetes; Micrococcales; Microbacteriaceae.
GUCGAACGGUGAAGCAGGAGCUUGCUCCUGUGGAUCAGUGGCGAACGGGUGAGUAACACGUGAGCAACCUGCCCCGGACUCUGGGAUAAGCGCUGGAAACGGCGUCUAAUACCGGAUACGAGCUGCGAAGGCAUCUUCAGCAGCUGGAAAGAACUUCGGUCUGGGAUGGGCUCGCGGCCUAUCAGCUAGUUGGUGAGGUAACGGCUCACCAAGGCGUCGACGGGUAGCCGGCCUGAGAGGGUGACCGGCCACACUGGGACUGAGACACGGCCCAGACUCCUACGGGAGGCAGCAGUGGGGAAUAUUGCACAAUGGGCGAAAGCCUGAUGCAGCAACGCCGCGUGAGGGAUGACGGCCUUCGGGUUGUAAACCUCUUUUAGCAGGGAAGAAGCGAAAGUGACGGUACCUGCAGAAAAAGCGCCGGCUAACUACGUGCCAGCAGCCGCGGUAAUACGUAGGGCGCAAGCGUUAUCCGGAAUUAUUGGGCGUAAAGAGCUCGUAGGCGGUCUGUCGCGUCUGCUGUGAAAACCCGAGGCUCAACCUCGGGCCUGCAGUGGGUACGGGCAGACUAGAGUGCGGUAGGGGAGAUUGGAAUUCCUGGUGUAGCGGUGGAAUGCGCAGAUAUCAGGAGGAACACCGAUGGCGAAGGCAGAUCUCUGGGCCGUAACUGACGCUGAGGAGCGAAAGGGUGGGGAGCAAACAGG